Molecule: ribosomal RNA, 253 nt
Filed under: uncultured bacterium
Lineage: Bacteria
Description: partial 16S ribosomal RNA
Rfam family: Bacterial small subunit ribosomal RNA
Source: RNAcentral
UACGUAGGGACCGAGCGUUGUCCGGAAUCAUUGGGCGUAAAGAGCGUGUAGGCGGCCACUUAAGUCCUGCGUGAAAUCUUGCGGCUCAACCGCAAGCGGUCGUGGGAAACUGGGUGGCUAGAGUGCGGGAGAGGAGAGUGGAAUUCCUGGUGUAGCGGUGGAAUGCGCAGAUAUCAGGAAGAACACCCGUGGCGAAGGCGGCUCUCUGGAACGAAACUGACGCUGAGACGCGAAAGCGUGGGGAGCAAACAGG